CGCAUCUGUGCAUGCAGCAUAUCAAUAAGCGGAGGAAAAGAAACUAACAAGGAUUCCCUUAGUAACGGCGAGUGAAGCGGGAAGAGCUCAAAUUUGAAAUCUUCAAGGUUUUACCUUGACGAAUUGUAGUUUAAAGAAGUGUUUUCUGCUGAAGUUUUGGUAAAAGUUCUUUGGAAUAGGACAUCAUAGAGGGUGAGAAUCCCGUAUUUGACCAUUAUUUUCAGCUUUGUGAUUCACUUUCAAAGAGUCGGAUUGUUUGGGAAUGCAGUCCAAAAUGGGUGGUAAAUUUCAUCUAAAGCUAAAUAUUGGCGAGAGACCGAUAGCGAACAAGUACCGUGAGGGAAAGAUGAAAAGAACUUUGAAAAGAGAGUUAAACAGUACGUGAAAUUGUCAAAAGGGAAGCGUUUGACACCAGUGUUGUUUUCUCGAAAAUCAAUUAAAAAUGGCUCGAUUUUGUAUUGCUUGAGACCUUAAAAGCUCACUGUACAUUUUUCGUGUCUUUUUAAUGCACUUUUCGUUUAACAAGUCAACAUCAGUUUCUUUUGUUGUAAAAGGGUCAUUGGAAGGUGGCUUUCUUUUCGGAGAAAGUGUUUAUAGCCUUUGGCCUCUGCAAUCGGAGAGACUGAGGUCUGCAGCGUAGACUCUUCGGGGUUAGAUACAUUUGUGCUAAGUUAUAGCUUUUUAUAGACAACUUGUUGACUAUGAUUAGUCUUGUAGCUUACUCGCUUAUGCUAUUUUACCUACGCUUAGGAUGUUGAUAGUCACAGCGUGUAC
This 774-nucleotide ribosomal RNA is filed under the name uncultured Neocallimastigales. RNAcentral describes it as "partial large subunit ribosomal RNA". It matches the Rfam family "Eukaryotic large subunit ribosomal RNA", at positions 26 to 633 of the family's 3401-position model. Lineage: Eukaryota; Fungi; Neocallimastigomycota; Neocallimastigomycetes; Neocallimastigales. The record is from RNAcentral.